RNAcentral lists this transfer RNA (71 nucleotides) under bacterium. RNAcentral's name for it is "tRNA-Gln". It matches the Rfam family "tRNA". Rfam says of the family: Transfer RNA (tRNA) molecules are approximately 80 nucleotides in length. Their secondary structure includes four short double-helical elements and three loops (D, anti-codon, and T loops). The record is from RNAcentral.
UGCCGGGUCGUCUAAUGGUAGGACUAUCGCCUCUGAAGCGAUAUAUCUUGGUUCGAGUCCAAGCCCGGCAG